RNAcentral lists this long non-coding RNA (1702 nucleotides) under Brachypodium distachyon (stiff brome). RNAcentral describes it as "long non-coding RNA (BDIS_LNC002566)". The record is from RNAcentral. Lineage: Eukaryota; Viridiplantae; Streptophyta; Magnoliopsida; Poales; Poaceae.
GACAAUGAGAGAACGGCGCUCUUGCGAUUCGAGUCUCGAACUGUCGAAACGGUAACUGACUCGAGUGAGAAACGUACAGUGAGCUAGGAAAUCAAAUAUGGUUCUGUAGACGACCGACACCCACACAGCUGCAGGUACCGUAAUGCUAAAAACUCCUCCCUCUUAUUUUGUAGUCGUACUACCUGUCACGAACAAGCACAUAUCUGAGUAUUAAAAGAAGUGAUAGUUGCCGUUGCCGUCCUGGUCACCGAUUUAUCAAAUCUUUCGGCUUAGCUCUCUUGAACGGGAGUUUUACUGCUGGUCUGCACUGUAGAUUGCGCCGCGGGAACGGUGUUAAUUACAUGUCCAAGUGGACAACACCGGCCGGCGACGUCAGGCCACAAGGCUGAAAUCUUUGUAGCCUGCCUGACGUCCGUGCGCAACGAGACGGUGGUUGGGAGGAGGUCGGUAGAGUAGAGACGAGGGAGUAGAUUGAACCGCAGGAACAUCCGUAGUAGAGGUUGGACGUACGGCGGUUGCAAUUUGCAAAUCAUGCAAAUGCAACACCAGCUUCUCCAUGCUAGCACUCGAUGUAAUCGAUUUCUCAUUGAUCACUGAUCAGUGCGUGCUUGCUCACUACAUCGGCUGGCCAACGAGCACGUUUCGUUUACAAACUACCGGUCUACAGUAUACAUUGCGCUUGUUCUAAGAAUCAACAACCGGUGCAUCUUGUUGCUCCCCGCCGUUUUUUCCCACCUCCCGAUCCGCCACGGCCACCCCUCCGUCGCAGACCGGUCACGCGACGAAUCCAAGGAAACUGCGUCCACGACAACACAAUUCCAGCUAAGUAAAUCAAUGCCCCGAAACUGAAAAAAAAAACAGAACGAACACGAGCACGCGCGAUCCGUGCCAGGAAGGAAAUAUUCACCUGAUGGGCCGCGCGACGACGGCGUGGCGCCCGAAGAGCGCGCGGAGGAAGAGGCUGGCGCCGUGGAGGAACAGCACCACGCUGCUGCAUCCGACCAGCAGUUCCAGCAUGGUUGCUUGAUCGCGGCUUGGCAACGACCAAGGGGUGUCGCCGCGCGGGAUGGGAUGAUCUCGUUUCGUUGAUGACUUGGUGACUUGUGUUGCGUCGCGGGAGGGGAGAGGUUACUUUGAAGCGAAUAAAUGGCCUGGGAACGACGUGAGGUUGCUUGCUGCUUGGAAUCCCUGUGGUUUAGUUUGGUUUAAAGAGGGAUCGUGGUCGUGGGAGAGAUGGACGGGGAAAGCAGAGCGUCUCCUCUCCUUUUUUUUUCACCCCUGUUCUACAUUUUGUUGCCGUUGCUUUCAGGGAUUUUAUUAUGUGUACUAGUAUUUUAUUCGUUUCGUGCUGUUUGGAGCAGACCUGUCCGUCCAUAAAUAAACAAACAAGAGAAGGGGAUAAUGAUAGGAACGAAAGGGUUAAUCCUUCUUCCAAGAGAAAGAAGUCAGGUCAAUAGGUCAUCAUCAUCCUCAUCACGGCUAUACUACUCCUAACCGAUGAGAUUUUUUUUGUUAAUCAUCCCCAAAAGAGUCUACAGCAAAUGAAUGGACGGUCCUUGUGCGGAUGAACGUGUGGUGGAAGCAGCCACUGCGGUUUAGUAAUCACUCUGAUCCAUAACUAAAUUAACCUGAGACGUGUAUUGUGGAUUACUUUUGACAUGAAGCUCCCUACGUCUGUUUUUCCUUUUCUUUUUGUUGCAGG